GUUCCGGAACCUGACCUGAGCUGGGGCCUGUGCUUCCAGCGGGUGGUGGGGGGCCUGGUGUGCUGGCAUCAAGUAAGCCGACUACCUCGGCAAAGGCUUAGGGACAAGAGACCAGCAGCCUGAACUGGCUGGGGCAUCCGGAAGGCUUAGAUCUUGUGGCCAAGAGUUCAGACCGUGGCGAAGUGGAGAGUGACAUGCAGUUGGAUGGCGGUGACUGCGUGGUCCUGCAACCCUGGUUCCAGUCUGGCAAGCAUUGUAGACCUGGCUGCUGAAGACUGACGGGGCCCAGGGUCCGCUGCCCCCACCGCCAUCACCACCUCGGAACCCAGGGUAACGCUGUCAGUCUUUGAUGAUGUCAGAAGUGGGAUCCAAAGUAGAGCUUAUAAUGACACCUAGGAGUGCUGAGUGACCAAGCAAGGUACCCACCAGGCCGAUUAUGUCCAUUGUUCUCUUGGAGCAGCUGGUCAUCAUGUGUCCUGCUCUGUCAUCCAGGUUGAAGUGCAGUGGGCGAUCAUGGCUCACGGCAGCCUCGACCUCCCAAGAUCAAGCAAUCCU
RNAcentral lists this long non-coding RNA (555 nucleotides) under Homo sapiens (human). RNAcentral's name for it is "long intergenic non-protein coding RNA 1278". Lineage: Eukaryota; Metazoa; Chordata; Mammalia; Primates; Hominidae. The record is from RNAcentral.